This is a long non-coding RNA of Saccostrea cuccullata (small rock oyster), 405 nucleotides long. RefSeq lists it as uncharacterized. The transcript is spliced from 3 exons. The record is from RefSeq and is a predicted model, not a curated record. Lineage: Eukaryota; Metazoa; Mollusca; Bivalvia; Ostreida; Ostreidae.
UUUUAGAUUUCAUUGUUCUUGUAGUAUAUAAGGAGACAUUUCACUUGUAAAAUCAUACACUCCUAUCUUUCUCUAGAUCGAGGUAUCAAGGUUUAGUAUCACAGAGAACAAUGAACUUCGUUCAGCUUUUGUUGCUUCUUGUUCUGGUUAUACUGACCAUCUACGUCAUGGGAUCAGUUGCCUCCCCUGGGAGAUGGUAUAGAAGAUGGUCUGAUUCCAGCAGCAGUGGUUCAUGGAGCAAGUAUGGCUAAAUGAUCAUUUGACCGGAAUGCUUCUAAAUGGAUAUUUGCUGCAACAGAAUUUCAACAUAUACACUAGCUUUUUCGGUAUUCAAAAAGGACUUUGAACAAAAUGUAAAUUGAUUCUGCGUUUGCGUUCUACAUAUUUGAUGCUAAUAAAGGAAAA